This 57-nucleotide microRNA precursor is filed under the name Nautilus pompilius. RNAcentral describes it as "Npo-Mir-12509_pre stem-loop". The record is from RNAcentral. Lineage: Eukaryota; Metazoa; Mollusca; Cephalopoda; Nautilida; Nautilidae.
UUUGGCAUGACAACCGCUUUGUGUGGAACUCAUCACCAGCCGUUAUCAUGUUGAUUG